This 474-nucleotide ribosomal RNA is filed under the name uncultured organism. Its description in RNAcentral is "partial 16S ribosomal RNA". It matches the Rfam family "Bacterial small subunit ribosomal RNA", at positions 331 to 797 of the family's 1533-position model. The record is from RNAcentral.
GUACACUCCUGCGGGAGGCAGCAGUGGGGAAUUUUGGACAAUGGGGGCAACCCUGAUCCAGCAAUGCCGCGUGAGUGAAGAAGGCCUUCGGGUUGUAAAGCUCUUUUGUCAGGGAAGAAACGGUGGUGGCGAAUAACUACUACUAAUGACGGUACCUGAAGAAUAAGCACCGGCUAACUACGUGCCAGCAGCCGCGGUAAUACGUAGGGUGCAAGCGUUAAUCGGAAUUACUGGGCGUAAAGCGUGCGCAGGCGGUUGUGUAAGUCAGAUGUGAAAUCCCCGGGCUCAACCUGGGAAUUGCAUUUGAGACUGCACUGCUAGAGUGUGUCAGAGGGGGGUAGAAUUCCACGUGUAGCAGUGAAAUGCGUAGAUAUGUGGAGGAAUACCGAUGGCGAAGGCAGCCCCCUGGGAUAACACUGACGCUCAUGCACGAAAGCGUGGGGAGCAAACAGGAUUAGAAACCCUGGUAGUCCC